CCUACUAUUUCUCAGUUUAAAUUGCAGAUAACAUGGUCGAUAAAAAUCAUGAAAUUAUUAAAUGAUCUCUUACUCUCAGAUGUUCUUCACUUUUUUUUUGAAAGAGAAACAAACCUCUUUAUUAAUGAUAAUAAAAAAGACUGAUGUUUGAAGUGUAAGAGAAUUAUACUAGGAGCAAAAAGGAGUGGAUGACUAAAAGAUGAAUAAAAAUAAAACAAUACAAACAAGCCAAACUAGAUCUCGAGCCAAAAGGGAGAAAAUACUACAAAGAAAAAGUAGUGUUUUUUCAAUUAGAAACCCAAAUUCAGCGGUAGACAUCCACACUAAUAGCUACAGAAUGAAAUGAGUGGAGACGACAAGAAAAGGCAAAUUCAGUGGUAGACUUCCACUCUCCAAUGGUGUUUAUGUUUCUACAUCGAGUUGUAACUUGGUGUCGACUGUCGAUAAGCAAACUUAUGAGUCACUUGAAUUGUAUACCAAGUCUUAUUCAAAUUUGUGUGAGUGACUUGAAUUGUAUAUCUAAGUCUAAUUCAAAUUUUUGCAAGUUAUAGGAGUUAGGUUUGGGAAAGGUGAUUGGGAUUACUAAGCAGCCGGGUGCCGGGUGACUCGUAUCUUUUACAAGAAAAACAUCUUCCAAUUUCGUCUUUCAACCUUAGGUGUGAUUCUUCAUCCAAUCUGAGUCCUCUUCCAGUUCUAGGUCUUUGUCCAGUGAAAAUCAAUUCACAUUAUGGUAUUUUUGCCUUGAUUGUCCAUUUUUUUGUAUCUUGGAAAGCUGAUUCCUCAUCUAUUCAUUCAUCAAUAAAAAAUCGAGUCGUUUUUAAUGUGAAAAUUUCCAACUGUCCAAACAUACCCAGAAUCCUUAUUGAAGUGUGCCCUACAAAUCUUCAAAACCUUUUGCAUUGAUCUACAGUGAUAUUUGAGGGCCUUCUUGAUGUUGGUCAUAACUUCUAUUGAUGACCAUUCUAGAUUAAUGUGGACAUACCUCAUGAAGGACAAAACCGAAACAUCAAGUGUUCUUUAAUUCAUUUUUCUUUUGAAACGGGGAAAAACUUCUUUAUUAAUAAUUUUUUUUAAAACGGAGACAAAAACUUCUUUACUAAUAAGAACUCAAGGUACAAGAGAUUUGAGAGCAAUAAAGAAGUAGUAAUCAAGAGAGUCUUAUAGGGAUCAGGAGGUGCACCCGGACAUCUCAACUAGGUUGACACCCCCUUAGCGCUAAAUACAAAAGAGUUAUACAAUAAGCGUAAUAGAAAAGCCUAGAGAGCGAUAAGCAAAGGGCAUCAGAAGGUACACCCGAGACAUUUCAACUAGGUUGGCACCCCCUUAGCACCAAAACAACAUAUCCCAAAAUAAAGCAAGAAUAAAAUUUAAGCCAAAUAAUGAAACAAAGUCUAGCUUAAUACAGAGGGUUGAGACAGAGAAAUAAAGGAAGAGAAAAAAAAGCUACAAAAAAAAAAAAGAAAAGAAAAGGAAGAGAAUAGAAGCAGAACAGUACAAAGAUUGAGCCUAAAACAAAACAGCUACUGUGAAAACAAAACAAAAUGAAAAUGUAAGCUAUGCUCCAAAGAAGCUUGCCGAAGAGGGGAAAUACGAAGCUGUAAAAGUGCAGACAAAGUCACCAAAACAAGAACUAGGCCUAGGGGACUGGUUGAGAGAGAAAGACUAACCAGUUGAGACAAAGAUCCUGAGUGGAGUAAUUCACAAACUCCUUGGUUCGAGAGCACCAAGCUGCUAAGUUUCGUUCUGGGAUAGAGAUAAGAUCAGGGCUUCCAACCGUGGACCUAAGCCUCUCUAUUCUACUCUUCCUUUCUUUUCCUCCAAUAUAAGUGCCACAAACUGCUUAAAUUGGUAUGAAAACCUCUGCCUUCUAUCUCCAGCUUAUCAAUCUGAGGGACGCUGGGUAACACUGAUCAGCAUAGGGUGGCUUAAUUGAUCUACCAAAGGAAUCUAUCACAAUGCACUCGCAUCUUAAUCAAUGACCAAUGUCCUCAAGAUGGACUUUGUAAGAACACGAGCGUUGUGUAGUUAGGACUUCACCUUCGAUUUCCUUUCUAGUGAGAGCAAGCAUUUCCACAUUAGGAAGCUCUGGGAGAAUAAUGCCUGUUGGUAUACAACAAAAGAUCUCCAACAAGAGAAUCUGAACGAACUGGUGUGAACUCAAAUAACAAAUGACAGUAACAAUCAGCUUCAUUGACUUUAUAGGUCAAAGAUGUUGCUCCCUUAAUGAGAACGAUCGUUCCAUCAAUCUUCUCUAGAUACCAACUAAAGAGGCUUGCUCCCACAUAACCACCAAAAUAUUUGCCUUGUUCAGAAUAAGUACCAAAUGACAAUUCUUUGACACGAACACCAGAAAUCAUUGGUAAGGCUGAGAUUACAGGUGAACUUGAAAUUGCAACUAAUCGCUUUCCACAUUUGCCAUCUACUUGUGUGAGAAGCCAAUACAAGGACAAAUAUGUCCCCACAUUAUCAAGAGAUGGAGUAUAUGUUAGCAUCCUUUCACAUAUGACAGCGUCUUCGCAAGAAUUCUACAAGUCCCCUAGUUCAGAUUCUUCCAGCUUAUGCCUUGUCCUGUACCAGAUAUACUGUCCAGCACCUUCAUGCCCACCAAAAUUCAACUUGAUUGGAACUACCUGUUGGCCCUCGCAGCAAUCUGUGUUCCAAGAAAAGAUCUUUGUGGGGCUGGAUGAGAGAAAUUAAGACUAAGCUGUCUCUUUAAACCAAGAUGAUGCCGCAUUCGAUGCCGCAGUUGUUGACGAAGGACAGCAGAUCCUUAGGCAAUUCCGAGGGGACUUUGAUUAGAAGGGGGACAGCUCCAUCAAAUAAGGCAGUAAGGUCAGCCCCUUCAAUUUCUGCAUUACUCUUGUGAUCAAAGCCAUUAAGGAAACCGAUAGACUCCUCAUUGCUGAUGCUGAAAGGUAAAUCCAAAGCCUUGGUGGAUAGCUUCUCAGAACGCCUGAUUCUUCUUUGAGAAGUCUGGUAGUGGAAGAGUCGGAAAUAAGGAAGGAGAUGCAAAAGGUGCCUUUAGUUGAAGCUCGUGAUAAAGCCCAACCGUUUCUUUUAGAUGAUCAUUUAAGGGGGAAUUUGAAGAGAGGGAAUAUAGGCGACCAAGGCUUUAAUUCUGCAAAAUUUUUUUUGAUCCUAAUAGUCAACGUUUUGGCCCAAUCAAGAAGUUCCCCGUGAGACCCGUGUCUGGAAUAGAAGGGUCAUUUUGACUAAGUGUAAAGAAGAGGCGUUUUGAGAAGAAGUAUGUGUUUUAAGGCUGGCAUUGAAGUGAGGCGACGCAUUGAGGGAACACACGUUCAAUGCAAAUAAUUAGGCGUUUUGAAGUUCAAUGCAAGAUAAAGUUAGGCGAGGAAGCAUCUAAUCUUGAUUUGACAGCUGUUUAUGUUUAAAAUUAAGGUUAAACAUGGUUUGAAAACAUGAAUAAGCUUACACAUGUAUUACUUCAAGUAGGAGCUGAAAAGCUUAGGGAAAAUUAAGGCUGACUAAUCUAAUUUUGGAAUAGUACAAAAAGGGGUGGAAUCCGGUAGAAAAGAGGUGAUGCUGAAAAUCUUAAAGUUACUCUACUGAAAAGAAGCUAGGCGAGGUGAAGGUUUUGGGGGACCAGGCCUUCUGAAGAAGGGAUUAGUUAAUGAGUGAUUUUCUAAAAUUGUUUAAAGAUUUUAAAGCUUUCUUCUAGUUCCUUGUUGACUUGUAAUGUUGUUUCAUAUGUUAAUGUUUAUAAAAGAAAGAAUUUCUAAAGAAA
Molecule: long non-coding RNA, 3745 nt
Organism: Cucumis melo (muskmelon)
Lineage: Eukaryota; Viridiplantae; Streptophyta; Magnoliopsida; Cucurbitales; Cucurbitaceae
Exons: 2
Source: RefSeq, a predicted model, not a curated record